UGCAGGCAAGAAGAUGGAACUGGAAAAUAUCAUCUGAAUGAGGACUGAAGUCAAGGACUGCUGUGGUUGAAUUAAGGAAAGGCUGGAAGAAGCUGAAGAGGUUGGCGACCCCAAAAGAAGACCAGAAGUCUCAACUCUCCCAGACUCCUGAGAUCUCUCAGACAUUGAGUCCCCAACCAGCAGCAUACAAGAACUGGUGGGAGGACCCUGACGCAUAUACAGCAGAGGACUGCCUGGUCUGGCCUCAGUGAGAGAAUCCUUGCCUAACCCUUUAGAGACUUGAGGACCCAGGAAGUGGGGAGACCUGGUCAGUGUCUUCGAGUAACUGUUGGUUGCCUUUGGUGGCCAGAUGAUGGUGUGAGAUCCCCUAAACUGGAUUUACUGACAUUUGUGAGUUGCCAUGUGGGUUCAGGAGAGUCAACCUGGUUUCUCUGGAAGAGGAGAUAGUCCUUUUUAUUACUGAGCCAUACCUCCGUUCCCUCUUUCAAAUUCUGUUUUUAAUUCUUCUCUCAUGUAUUACAGCCCAAAAAAGAGAUUUUUAUCUCUCCUCUCCUCAGGGUCAGUCUUCCCUACCUGUCUACUCCCCCCAAGACCUUUCCUGUAUUAUUGUCAUGUUUGUCUCUAAUGUAGUAUCUUGUUUGUUGAGUUUUGUUAUUUGGUUACACAGUCAUUGCUAAAAGAUUUGUCGUAAGAUUUAAAUUUGUGUUUUGUUUUUCAAACGAUUGUAAAGGAAAUUUAUUGUGUUUCCAAAAUAUUGUCAAUAUUAAAAUAUGAAAACUCUCUAUGUUUAUUUAGUGGUUCAGUGGUAGCUAUCAACACAGCAGAAUCCAAAAUCAGCUUGGAGGCAAGUCCUUCGGACAUCUCUGAGGGGUCAUCUUGUUGUUUGAAGAACCAUCUUAAUUGUAACUAAGAACAUCCCCUGGGUGGAAAAUCCUGUAUUGCAUAAAAUGAUGAAGGCAGGAGAAAUGACUUCAAUUCAACAUGAAAUUAAUCCCCCAGACCAUCAUUAGAGUGCAAAGGUGACCUGAGCAUCUGAGCCUUCAGGAAGACAUGCUUCAUGGAUCUCAAUUUGGAUUUCUGAACAGAGAAACAGGUAUCAUCAAUUACUGGUACUUGUAAUGCACAACAUUGCCAUGAAGAAAACGGAAUUAGCACAGAGCAUGCAGAGUACCUUCCAACUCCAUGAACAUUACAUGUGAAGCUUCAAGUUUGGUAUCUGCACAAUUUCUCAAUGGUUGAUGACAGAAGUAUCUCUGAUACGGAGUCUCAGUGUACUUUGUAGUGAGGUUGCAAAUUCAAGCACUAAUGCAAUGCUUCCUGUCAGCCUCCUGAGAAGAUCACACUGGAGACCACUACUCUGAUCUAUGAUAUAAACUGCAAGAACUUUCCUGAUGAGGAAUAGGACUCUGUGUUUAUACCCUUAACCAAUGCUGUAACUGAGCUGUUCACUAGAGAGUAGCUGCAAGGAAUGGAAAAUUUGAUGAGCCACACUGAGGAAGACUGAGGAAGCGGAGAGCUGACAUCAAUUCACAUUAUGGUGUAAUCAUUUUUCUAUAAACGGAAAACCAGAAGUCUCAACUAUCCCGGACUCCUGAGAUCUCUUAGACAUUGAGCCCAACCAGCAUCAUAGAAGAAUUGGUGGGAGGACACUGACACAUAUACAACAGAGGACUUCCUGGGCUGGUCUCAGUCAAUGUCUUUGAAUAACUGUCCAUUGCAUUUGGUGGCCAGAUGAUGGUGUGAGAUCCCCUGAAACUGGAAUUAGUGAUAUUUGUGAGUUGCCUUGUGGGUUCAGGAGAGUUAACCUGGUUUCCCUGGAAGAUCAGACAGUCCUUUUUAUUACUGAGCCAUACCUCCAUUCCCUCUUCUUAAUUCUGUUUUUAAUUCUUCUCCCACGUAUUACAUCUCCAAAACAGAGCUUUUCAUCUCUCCUCUCCUCAGGGUCAGUCUUCCCCACCUGUAUCUCCCCCCAAGACCGUUCCUGUAUUAUUGUCAUGUGUCUCUAAUGUAGUAUCUUGUUUGUGGAGUUUUGUUAUUUGGUUACACUGUCAGUGCUAAAAAGAUUUGUUGUAAGAUUUAAAUUUGUGUUUUGUUUUUUAAAUAAUUUUAAAGGAAAUUUAUUGUGUUUGCAAAAUAUUGUCAAUAUUAAAAUAUGAACAUUCUCUAUGUUUAUUUUGUGGUUCAGUGGUAGCUAUCAACAUGGCAGAAUCUGAAAUCAACUUGGAGGCAAGUCCUUCGGACAUCUGUGAGGGGUCAUCUUGUUGUUUGAAGAACUAUCUUAAUUGUAGCUAAGAACAUCCCCUGGGUGGAAAAUCCUGUAUUGUAUAAAAUGAUGAAGGCAGGAGAAAUGGCUUCAAUUCAACAUGAAGUUAAUCCCCCAGACCAUCUUAAGAGUCCAAAGGUGACCUGACUAUCUGAGCCUUCAGGAAGACAUGCUUCAUGGAUCUUAAUUUGGAUUUCUGAACAGAGAAACAGGUCAUUGGUAGAUAAGUUAAACUUUCAAAAUCAGAGAGGAUCCUAUAAUUCUUAUCCAGUAUUGUAUAGGUAUCAAUUGCACAUAGCUUCUAAUUAGAGGUAGGACUCCAUUUCUGUUUCUCCUGUUUACCUCUGAGUCUUUUGUUCAGUUUGAACUCAGAAAUCUUGUGUAUGCUUGAAUAAUCGCUGUGAGUGGAAAUGUUUCUAGGUCCUGUUGUACAUGGAAGAGUCUUGUUCUUGAGAGUCAUCUAUCAUCUCUUGCUCCUAAAGUCUUUCUAAUUCCCCUCCCCAUAGAUUUGUGAUGCUUCAGGGGAAAGGUUCGAUGAAGAAAUCUUACUCAGGACAAGUGCUCCAAAGUCUCUCACUGUCUACAAUAUCCAGUUGCAGUUCUCCAAGCUAGUUCCCAUCUACUAGAGGAAGAAGCUCCUCUGAUGUGAGUUAAGUAAUGCACUGGUCUAUGGAUAUAACUAUGUAAUUUUGAGUCACUUCAUUGUAAUGUGACAUUUGCAGAAUUAUACUGGUUUUCUACUAGACCCAUUUUUGGGUUCUUGAGCACAUUAACAGUGUCUUGUAUGAGUCU
This 3055-nucleotide small RNA is filed under the name Rattus norvegicus (Norway rat). RNAcentral describes it as "uncharacterized LOC102546835". The record is from RNAcentral. Lineage: Eukaryota; Metazoa; Chordata; Mammalia; Rodentia; Muridae.